GGAUGUAGAGGCAAUCUGGCUGAAACAGCUGUCACCCCACUGAUCACUUAUGUUGAUCUGGCUGGCUAGGCAGGUGUCCCCUUCCUCCCUCAAUGCUCCAGGUGCAUCCUUCUCGCACCUAUGCACCUGUGCACUCAGUCGAAGAAGAUAACCUUCCCCAGUACAGAAGUUCAGACUUAAGCCAAAAAUAAAAUAACUGAACACACACCUAUACACAGAUCAACACCAAUGUCGUGCGUGUGUAUUUAUAUAUAUACAACCCCUCCCUUUCAUUCUUUCUGAAUUGCUAAG
Molecule: non-coding RNA, 291 nt
Organism: Otolemur garnettii (small-eared galago)
Lineage: Eukaryota; Metazoa; Chordata; Mammalia; Primates; Galagidae
Source: Rfam